RNAcentral lists this ribosomal RNA (1447 nucleotides) under uncultured Eubacteriales bacterium. RNAcentral describes it as "bacterial SSU rRNA". It matches the Rfam family "Bacterial small subunit ribosomal RNA", at positions 28 to 1379 of the family's 1533-position model. Lineage: Bacteria; Bacillati; Bacillota; Clostridia; Eubacteriales. The record is from RNAcentral.
GACGAACGCUGGCGGCGCGCCUAACACAUGCAAGUCGAACGGGCGCUUUGCGCAGGAUUAAGGAUUGAGGAAUGAGGAUUUAGGAAAUAAGGCAGGAUAAUAUCGCCUUUAAGUAAGCUUUUUAGCUUUACAACCUUAAUCCUAAAACCUAAAACCUUAAUCCUGUGCGAAGCACUAGUGGCGGACGGGUGAGUAACACGUGAGCAACCUGCCUUUAAGAGGGGGACAACAGUCGGAAACGGCUGCUAAUACCGCAUAAAGUGAUUAUCCGGCAUCGGGUGAUUACCAAAGGAGUUAAAUCCGCUUAAAGAUGGGCUCGCGCCUGAUUAGAUAGUUGGUGAGGUAACGGCUCACCAAGUCGACGAUCAGUAGCCGGACUGAGAGGUUGAACGGCCACAUUGGGACUGAGACACGGCCCAGACUCCUACGGGAGGCAGCAGUGGGGGAUAUUGGUCAAUGGGGGGAACCCUGAACCAGCGACGCCGCGUGAGGGAAGAAGGUUUUCGGAUUGUAAACCUCUGUCAGCGGGGAAGAAAAUGACGGUACCCGCGGAGGAAGCCACGGCUAACUACGUGCCAGCAGCCGCGGUAAUACGUAGGUGGCAAGCGUUGUCCGGAAUUACUGGGUGUAAAGGGAGUGUAGGCGGGACUAAUAAUCAGAUGUGAAAGGUACAGGCUUAACUUGUAAACUGCAUUUGAAACUUUAGUUCUUGAGUGAAGUAGAGGCAAGCGGAAUUCCCGGUGUAGCGGUGAAAUGCGUAGAUAUUGGGAGGAACACCAGUGGCGAAGGCGGCUUGCUGGGCUUUUACUGACGCUGAGGCUCGAAAGCGUGGGGAGCAAACAGGAUUAGAUACCCUGGUAGUCCACGCCGUAAACGAUGAUUACUAGGUGUGGGGGGAUAGACCCCUUCCGUGCCGGAGUUAACACAAUAAGUAAUCCACCUGGGGAGUACGACCGCAAGGUUGAAACUCAAAGGAAUUGACGGGGGCCCGCACAAGCAGUGGAGUAUGUGGUUUAAUUCGACGCAACGCGAAGAACCUUACCAGGUCUUGACAUCCAACUAACGAGGCAGAGAUGCGUUAGGUGCCCUUUUGGGAAAGUUGAGACAGGUGGUGCAUGGUUGUCGUCAGCUCGUGUCGUGAGAUGUUGGGUUAAGUCCCGCAACGAGCGCAACCCUUAUGAUUAGUUGCUACAUUUAGUUGAGCACUCUAAACAGACUGCCGUUGACAAAACGGAGGAAGGUGGGGAUGACGUCAAAUCAUCAUGCCCUUUAUGACCUGGGCUACACACGUACUACAAUGGCGCAGUACAGCGAGGAGCGAACACGCGAGUGGGAGCAAAUCUCCAAAAGGCGCCUCAGUUCGGAUUGCAGGCUGAAACUCGCCUGCAUGAAGUCGGAAUUGCUAGUAAUCGCGAAUCAGCAUGUCGCGGUGAAUACGUUCCCGGGC